AUCCGUCAUAUACCUGACUUAAUUAGCUUGAGUCCAAUCAUGAAUUCCAUAAAUUUUUUUUUCAUAAUCACAUUGUUGUUGCCAUAGACUUAUGGACUUAGCCUUUUAGGUUGCAUAGGACUACUCCUCAACUACUAAGAUCGAUAGAUCUUCUAUAAGUGCACUCCUACUCCCAUAGCAAACCUACUACAGUCAACGUCCACUGUAAGGAUCUAAAUAGAUAGGGAUCAUAUUUCUAUGUAGUCAAACUAUAGCAACUCUAUUGUGAGUAGUCGAGGCACCAU
Molecule: long non-coding RNA, 284 nt
Filed under: Elaeis guineensis (African oil palm)
Lineage: Eukaryota; Viridiplantae; Streptophyta; Magnoliopsida; Arecales; Arecaceae
Description: long non-coding RNA (EGUI_LNC014735)
Source: RNAcentral